AAAAUCAUGCGUUUUUUUUGCAUUGGGUGUCAUUUGUGAGAGAACACAGGAACGAAAUGGAUAUCGAAAAUUUAAUUAGCGAAGUAUUUUUACGCCCAGCGCUAUGGGACCAAAAGAGCAAAAACUAUCACAACAGAAUUUUGGUGGAAAAAAAUUGGACAGAAAUUGAAAACAUGUUAGAAACGUCAAAAGACGGCUUAAAAAAAAUGGAAGAACCUCCGGGACCAAUUCCGCAACGAAUGGAAAAAAAUUCCUAUUUCAAAAUCUGGCGACUCUGGUGUUUUAGAGGAGGCU
Molecule: long non-coding RNA, 294 nt
Organism: Drosophila nasuta
Lineage: Eukaryota; Metazoa; Arthropoda; Insecta; Diptera; Drosophilidae
Exons: 2
Source: RefSeq, a predicted model, not a curated record